This 812-nucleotide ribosomal RNA is filed under the name uncultured bacterium. Its description in RNAcentral is "bacterial SSU rRNA". It matches the Rfam family "Bacterial small subunit ribosomal RNA", at positions 59 to 884 of the family's 1533-position model. The record is from RNAcentral.
CAGUCGAACGAGAGAGAGGGAGCUUGCUUCCUCAAUCGAGUGGCGAACGGGUGACUAUCGCGUGAGGAACCUGCCUCAAAGAGGGGGACAACAGUUGGAAACGACUGCUAAUACCGCAUAAGCCCACGACCCGGCAUCGGGUCGAGGGAAAAGGAGCAAUCCGCUUUGAGAUGGCCUCGCGUCCGAUUAGCUAGUUAGUGAGGUAAUGGCCCACCAAGGCAACGAUCGGUAGCCGGACUGAGAGGUUGAACGGCCACAUUGGGACUGAGACACGGCCCAGACUCCUACGGGAGGCAGCAGUGGGGAAUAUUGCACAAUGGGGGAAACCCUGAUGCAGCGACGCCGCGUGGAGGAAGAAGGUCUUCGGAUUGUAAACUCCUGUUGUUGAGGAAGAUAAUGACGGUACUCAACAAGGAAGUGACGGCUAACUACGUGCCAGCAGCCGCGGUAAAACGUAGGUCACAAGCGUUGUCCGGAAUUACUGGGUGUAAGGGGAGCGCAGGCGGGAAGACAAGUUGGAAGUGAAGUCUAUGGGCUCAACCCAUAAACUGCUUUCAAAACUGUUUUUCUUGAGUAGUGCAGAGGUAGGCGGAAUUCCCGGUGUAGCGGUGGAAUGCGUAGAUAUCGGGAGGAACACCAGUGGCGAAGGCGGCCUACUGGGCACCAACUGACGCUGAGGCUCGAAAGUGUGGGUAGCAAACAGGAUUAGAUACCCUGGUAGUCCACACCGUANACGAUGAUUACUAGGUGUUGGAGGNUUGACCCCUUCAGUGCCGCAGUUAACACAAUAAGUAAUCCACCUGGGGAGUACG